RNA transcript from Quercus lobata, 3975 nucleotides. RefSeq lists it as uncharacterized. The record is from RefSeq and is a predicted model, not a curated record. Lineage: Eukaryota; Viridiplantae; Streptophyta; Magnoliopsida; Fagales; Fagaceae. The transcript is spliced from 10 exons.
UUGGUGGGUAUGGGCGGUAUGGGAAAAACCACUUUUGCCCAACUAGCCUUUAAUCAUCAUGAGGUGAAAGAUCAUUUUGAAAAAAGAAUUUGGGUUUGUGUUUCCGAACCCUUUGAUCAAUGUAGGGUUGCCAAAGCUAUCGUUGAAGCUUUGGGAGUUCAUGAUUCCAACACUACUGAAUUGCAAAGUCUGCUAGAUACAAUUUGUGAAUUAAUUCGAGGAAAGAAGAUUUUUCUUAUCUUUGAUGAUGUGUGGACUGAAGACUAUGCAAUGUGGAAGCCAUUCAGAGAUGCACUCAAAAAUUGUGGUUCCCAAAGUAGUAGAAUCCUAGUCACCACACGUAAAGACAAAGUUGCGAAGAUGAUGGAAAGUGCAAAUACGAUCAAGUUAGAGGAAUUGUCUGAGGAAGAUUGUUGGUUGGUGUUUAGUAAAAUAGCAUUUGUAGAUGAGGAUCCUAAGCAAUGUGAGCAACUAGAAGACGUUGGCAAGAAAAUAUCAAAGAAGUGCAAAGGCUUGCCCCUUGCUGCAAAGACUCUGGGGAGUCUCAUGCACUUCAAGAAAAGUAGAGAAGAGUGGAACAAUGUUUUGGAUAGCAAUUUUUGGGAAUUAGAAGACAUUGAAAGAGGACUUUUUGCGCCAUUGUUACUUAGUUAUUAUGAUUUGCCAUCACCACUGAAACGGUGUUUCUCAUAUUGUGCUAUCUUUCCAAAAGAUCAUGUCUUUGAAGUUGAUAUGUUGGUAUCUAUGUGGAUAGCACACGGAUUUGUUGAGUCAAAGGGAAAUAUGGAGGUGGAAAUCAUGGCAAGAGAAUACUUUAAAAGUUUAGUCAUUCGCUCUUUCUUCCAAAAGGAACAUAUAUUUUUUGACAUGAGAUAUAAAAUGCAUGAUAUAGUGCAUGAUUUUGCACAGUCGAUUACUAAGAAUGAAUGCUUAAUAAUCAGUAGUGACAUAGAGUCAAAAUUAGACUUUAAUAGUGCUCGCCAUUUAGGAUUAGAAAUUCGAAAUGUAUCCCAAUUUCCUUUGUCCAUUGAUAGUGCCAAAAAUCUACGCACCCUUAUCAUUUUUAAUCAAGUUGGUUAUGACAUACCCAAUUUACAGAAUUUUAGACUUUUACGAGUAUUAACUUUGAUAAAUACUAUGGAACUUCCACACACAGUGGAAAAUUUAAUACAUUUAAGGUAUCUCACUUUGUUUGGGGGUAUUGAGGUAUUGUCUGAAACCAUUUGUAAUUUAUGCAAUUUACAAUAUUUGAAGAUUACCAAGGAUUUUGGUUCUGUCUACACAAAAUUACCUCAAGGGAUAGGUAAAUUAAUUAACUUAAGACAUCUUAUUGGAGAAGAUUUCCUGAUUCCAAGAGGGAUUGGAAGAUUGAUUUCUCUUAGAACAUUAAAAUGUUUCAGCAUAAGUGACGAGGAUAGCGAAGGAUGUAAACUCGGAGAAUUAAAAAAUUUGAACCACCUGCAAGGGAGUUUUGAAAUACGUGGGUUGGGGAACGUGAUAGAUGUAAGUGAGGCCGAGAAUGCACAACUUAAGAAGAAGAUACAACUUCGUGAAAUGAUACUAUCUUUUAAGAAAGGGAAGGAUAGAGGAUGGUGGGAUGAUCCGGUUCCAAAUGCGGUCGACCCCAAUGAUAGAAGAAUGGAGAGGGAUGUCUUAGUUUUAAAUGCCUUAGAGCCACCUCAAGACUUGGAGCAGUUAGACAUUCGUUGGUACCAGGGCACCACAAUGUCUCCUAAUUGGUUGAUGUCCUUGACCAAAUUGAAACUUGUUUCUAUCUUUUCGGCCACAAAGUUAACGAGUUUGCCUCCUUUGGGGAAGUUCCCGUUCCUCGAAUCAUUAACUAUAAGGAAUGUGUGUAGUUUGAAACAAGUGGGUGUUGAAUUUUUGGGAAUAGAAUCUGAGAACAAGAAAGAAGACAUAAAAAUAUUCCCAAAUUUGAAAUAUCUCAGGUUUGUGUGGUUGGAGGAGUUGGAAGAAUGGAUUGGGAUUGGAGGAAAAGAAGACGCAGACUGUAUUACUGUAAUGCCUCGUCUUCAACGGCUGGAAAUUCAUGGCUGCGGAAAGUUAAAGUCAUUGCCGGACUUCCUGCGUACAAUUCCAUUGAAUAAAUUGGAGAUCGCUGGCUGUCCAAUUAUCAAGGAACGUUGCCAAAGAGAGACAGGAGAGGACUGGCGCACCAUUUCUCACAUCCCAAUCAUCGAUCUUCAAGAACAUUCUUAUUAUUUAAGAUGACAUCGUAAAAACUGCGCAUGAGCAAAGUUCAUCCUCGGCUUGAUUCGGCAUUGCAAGUCUGAACCAGUAAAGGGGAAGUAUAUUUUGUGCUUGAGCAAAAUUUCACGCAUGGAUGCACUUUUGAGUAAGACCUACAGAAGAAACUUGUUCAUUUUAUUGUGGCAGUAAAGCUUGCAUAUUGUAUGACACAUAAAAGGUUGGAUGAGGAAGAGUGAGAUGUACCACCAAGGGCAGAGGGCACAAUUUGAUAAAUACUUGCUAUUUGCUGCGAUCUAUAGUUGCCUAUUUUGAAAAGGACACCAUAAGAAGUGGAGAGGAGAAGAUAGGACCAGUCCAAACUUCCUUGAUCUAGGCGCAUAAAUGUUGCUUCUUGUAUAGGCACUGUAACAGUUCUAUUUGAUGACAAAGAGUUGAUGUUGUCUUGCCAGCACCAAUAAAACUGUCAGAAGGAGUGAAUCAUUGUAUCAUACUACAAAUCAAAAUCAAAAUGGUGCUUUUACCCCUGAGAAGGUUCAAGUCCUUCAGUACUUGCAAUCUCAAAGUGGGACAUUUCCAGCAAGAUCAUUUUCCAAGAUGGUUUGUGUGGUACAGCUAUAGGUUUUCAAGAAAAGUUGGUUCUGGCAAGAAAUCUUGUUUGGAGAUUUAAGCUACCUGGUGGUUUAGAAGGAAAUGCCCCUUGGUUGAAACAGAGAAAGAUAGUUGUGUCUCGUAAGUAUGGACACAGCAUUGAAAAUGAUAAUCACUUGGACAGAGAUUUUCUUGUACAGCUUUGGGUUGCUGAUAGGAAAAUGAAAAAUUCUAACAGAAAAAGAAGGCGGAAAUUUGUUAAGUAUGGAAAUUUUUCUGGUACAGCAUAUGAAAACCAACAUGAAUAUGGAAGAUGGUAUUCAGGGGCACCUCUUUGCAGAACAGGAUUUUUUGGACAAGGGAAAACCAGUUUUGAAUCAACCACCUCUGAGCCAAUCUGACUCAGCUUUUCUGGAGCCAGAAACUCCAGAGGAGGCCCAGGUUGCACUCCUUCUUGCUAGGUCCAAUUUGUUGAUUACUAGGGAUAUAGAGUGGGCAAAUCUUAUGCUUGGUUUUGAGCAGUUGUAUCUUUAGAUUCUUUACUCUCAAUUCUAUUUGGUGGAACUGUUGGAAAACCGGUAUGCAAUUGUAGAUGUGUGCUACCCCAGUCACCUGUAGGUUUUAUUCGUGAGAAGAGUAAUCUCAUUGCCAGACAGGUGAUGAUUGUAUUGGAAAACAAUGUGGAUAUAAGGAAUGUUACAUGCAGCCAAAGUCAUGGAAUUAGCAUUUGGCAGUCUUAGCAGAGAUAAAUCCUGAGCCGGCAUUUCAAACAGUGAGGGACUCAAUCAUCAAACACUCUACUGAUGUUCGGAUUCAAAACAUGGCAAGUUGGCUCUGGUGUUGUAUCCAAAGUGACCUAUUCAAAACCGAAUUAUUUAAACCAAUACUACUGCCUCUGUGAAAAGUGCCCCAAUCAUACCUUUUCACUUAUGAGUUGUUUGGGAAUUGAUUUUUUUUUUCUUUUUUUCUUUUUUGUGGAAAAUAUAUUUGCUUAUUUACUGAAGAACCAAAAAAGACUGGUUGGUGAUGUUUCAGAAAUAUUGUUUGGAAAUGCAAAUUCAACUCAUUAUGCGAGGAUUACUUUUCUUGUUGGUAUAAUUGUCUUUUUUGGACUUAUUGAUGGAUAUGAGUAUAUAGCCCUUUUCAGUUGACAUAUUUUCACUUGAUGAGUGAAUU